Non-coding RNA from Mauremys reevesii (Reeves's turtle), 503 nucleotides. The record is from the annotation of a RefSeq genome assembly. NCBI's taxonomy places the organism in Eukaryota, Metazoa, Chordata, Testudines, Geoemydidae.
CAGUUUACGGUUGUUGCACCCCACAAGGUGGUUGGGUAGAAUUAAAAUGACAUGUCUGGGGUUCCUUGUCCUUUUGGCAGCGUUCUCGGGUGUCAGCUCCCAGAUCCAGCUGACUCAGUCCGGGGCAGAAAUCAAGAAGCCUGGAGAGUCUGCGAAGGUGACAUGUAAAACCUCCGGCUACACCUUUACCAGCUACGGCAUUAACUGGGUGCGGCAGGCUCCCGGGAAAGGACUGGAGUGGAUCGGAUAUAUCGCCCCCAGUAGUGGUGGCACUGGCUAUGCCCAGGCUUUCCAGGGGCGAUUCACCAUCACCAGGGACACCUCCAUAAGCACGGCCUAUCUGCAGCUGGCAGGGGCGGCUCUAGGCACCAGCUAAACAAGCAGGUGCCUAGGGUGGCGAAAUUUAGGGGGCGGCGAAAUGACGGGCGUGUAUGUGCCCGCUUACCGGAAGAGCGGCGGGAGCUCUUCCCCGGCUGCAGAGGACAGGCCGCUCCUCGGCUUGU